CGGUGGAUUAUGUGGUUUAAUUCGAAGCAACGCGCAGAACCUUACCUGGGUUUGAAAUCCGGAGAAUCCUCCCGAAAAGGAGGAGUGCCCUUCGGGGAAUUCCGUGACAGGCGCUGCAUGGCUGUCGUCAGCUCGUGUCGUGAGAUGUUGGGUUAAGUCUCGCAACGAGCGCAACCCCUAUUCUUAGUUGCCAGCAUUAAGUUGGGCACUCUAGGGAGACUGCCCGGGCUAACCGGGAGGAGGGUGGGGACGACGUCAAGUCCUCAUGGCCCUUAUACCCAGGGCUACACACGUAAUACAAUGGUGCAUACAAAGGGAAGCGACCCGGCAACGGUGAGCAAAUCCCAAAAAGUGCAUCUCAGUCCGGAUUGGAGUCUGCAACUCGACUCCAUGAAGUUGGAAUCGCUAGUAAUCGCGGAUCAGCACGCCGCGGUGAAUACGUUCCCGGGCCUUUGUACACACCGCCCGUCACAACCAUGGGAGUUGGUUUUACCUGAAGUCGUGGCCUUAACUGCUGACAGAGGGGAGCGCCUACGUCGACCGAGACUGG
Molecule: ribosomal RNA, 550 nt
Filed under: uncultured bacterium
Lineage: Bacteria
Description: bacterial SSU rRNA
Rfam family: Bacterial small subunit ribosomal RNA
Source: RNAcentral